Molecule: long non-coding RNA, 1257 nt
Filed under: Piliocolobus tephrosceles (Ugandan red Colobus)
Lineage: Eukaryota; Metazoa; Chordata; Mammalia; Primates; Cercopithecidae
Description: lncRNA (ENSPTEG00000007247.1)
Source: RNAcentral
AUUUAUGUAAAAUCGAAAGAAAAGGAAUAUAUGAUAGAGAAUGACGAUGAAGGGUGUGUUAUAGAUAAAGAAAGAAACAACACGAAUGAUAAUGAGAAUAAUCCAGAUGCCGAUCAAACAGUGUCGCAUGAUUUUAACAAUACAAAUGACUUUAUAGAUCAUGAUAAUAUGUAUACGACAGUUAAUCAAGAAAAAAAAAAUAGAAUGAUUGACAAAAGAUUUUUUGCAACGUCAAAUAUAAAUACAAGCAUGUUACAUGACAUUGGAGAGCGUGAAGAUGUUGAUGGCGGCUAUAAUGGAAAUUACGACAAUUACAAAAAAAGUUAUAAAAACAAAAACUAUAAUGAAGUAGAAAACUAUAACGAAGGAGAAAACUAUAAUGAGAACGAAGACGAAGACGAUAACGAAGUAGAUGAUGAAAAAGAGGCUAAAGAAAUUAUCGAUAAAAUGUACAAUAUUCAACUCAGUCAUAUAAAGGCAAUAAAAGUAAUUUACAGUGUUUUCUAUACAAGUAACGUUUUUGAAAUAUAUAUGUCUAUGUUUUUAAAUAAAUAUAUAAAUUAUUCUCUGUUAAAUAAUUUUAUAAUUCUUCUUAUUUAUUCAACUGAAGUAAUAAGUAUUGAGUAUAUGAAAAUUGAAAAUGUGAAAAGUAAAUUUGAUAACGUCAAUGAUGGCGUAAAAGAAGUUGACCACACACACAACAGUAAGGUGAGUGUUGAUGAUAAAUACGAAUGCGAUAAUAAUAAUAAUAUAAACAAUAUAAAUAAUAACAAUUACAAUAAUAAUAUGAAUAAUUAUAAUUAUAAUUAUAAUAAUAGUGGCGAUAAUAACAGAUACAAUAACAAUGGUGAUGGUUACAAUCAUGAUGUCAAUUAUGACACUGUUAAUAAUUAUAACCCCGGGCACACUUUUUACGAUGAUGACAGUAACGACGAGUCAGAUAAAAGCGACCAACACGACAAGAACGACCAACAAGACAAGAACGACCAACAAGACAAGAACGACCAACAAGACAACAAAGAUAAACUCGAAACUAACCCCUCUGAGUUUAUCACGAAAACCUUUACUAAUAACAUAAACGUAGAUGAAGUUGAUAUGGAUUAUUAUAUACAAAUAAAUUUAGCAAUUAAAUUAAUUACAAAAAAUUACAUUUUAUUAUGGAUAGACUCUAUAAUAAACCAAUUGUUAUUUGUCGAUAAAAAAGUACUAAAUUAUCCUUGUUCCUUUUCACUUCCCCUAUUAAAUUUUUAUGACCAA